This 68-nucleotide transfer RNA is filed under the name Calyptraea chinensis. RNAcentral describes it as "tRNA-Ile". Lineage: Eukaryota; Metazoa; Mollusca; Gastropoda; Littorinimorpha; Calyptraeidae. The record is from RNAcentral.
AGUAUUGCGCCGGGUGAACGGGAAUCAUUGAUGUUGAUUAUUAUGAGAAUUAUUAUUUUUCAAUACUA